Long non-coding RNA from Panicum virgatum (switchgrass), 2684 nucleotides. RefSeq lists it as uncharacterized. The transcript has 4 exons. The record is from RefSeq and is a predicted model, not a curated record. NCBI's taxonomy places the organism in Eukaryota, Viridiplantae, Streptophyta, Magnoliopsida, Poales, Poaceae.
CUUCAACGCUCCUUCAGUUGAAUUGAUGAUUUCGCCCACGUUCUUGGUCUCCAUGAUUGUUGAAAGCUUGACUUCUGGGUGUGCUUGAAAAUGGGCUGAUCCUAAAUCCACAGCUUCCACUUGGACUUCCUAAGCAAGGAAAACAGAAGCAAGGAAAGUGAUGCAGAGGCUAAGAGGAGCCAUUUCUUACCGUCCCAUCUGUUGCUUCUCGUGCUUCGUCUUCGGUCGCCAUUGCUCCAGAUCAGAAUGAGAAGAAGAAGAAGAAGAAAGGAAAAAGGAAAAAAGAAAGAUGGAGUGGCUUCUCCCUGAAAAAGGCUUGUGGGUGCUCGAAAAGCUGGUGGUCUUUAUACCAACCUUUCCUUUGCCCCCUUGUCAAUAUGUUUUCUAUUGCUGAGCAGCGGUUAGGAAGCAGUGACAGACUGACAGUGCUCUUGAGGGGAGUUAGCACUUGCUUAAGUGUAAUCUUGAUUAAGCGGCAAUAGUUAUUCCUGAAACCGCUGAUCAAUGAACAUGGAGAGUCAGCAUUAGGUGCCAAAAUGCCAACUGGUACGUGAGGCACAUGGUUGUGGUGGCUGGACCAGCGUGUCUGUGUUCUUGCAUUGAUGGACCCACAGAACCUUUUCUGUGUGAAAUUAUUGGAUGGAUAAUUGAUCAGGGAGUAUCAUCCUUGGAUCCUUCAUAUCAUUAGCUUCUUUUUUUCCUUUCCUGAGUGCAGCUCAAAAGAAAAGUUUAGGUUUUGGUGUGAAUACUAUUAUCUGCUCAUUUUGUUGUUUGGCUUCGAGUAUUGGGUAAAAAUGAUUGGUUUUACAUGUUCCUUAUGGUUCGAAUUUUCUCCUACUGGUUAGGCUGCCCUUGUAUGUUUUAGUCACUUUCAACUAUUUGUUCAAUUGCUGCGUUCAUCUUACCUCAGAUUGCACUUGGAACACAAGGGAACAAUGGAUUAAAGUUGAUGUUUCUGCAACCCAUAAAAAGUUUAUUGAGAUCAAAUCAAGUGGAAAGCAGAACAGCGUGAAAGUAACUUCGCCUUUGGUGUCCUUACUGUGUUAUGUCUUGUUCUUUCUUUUUUUUUCAAAAAAAAUGAUUCCUUUUAAGUUCAUGUGCCAGACUGCCAGCACAUUGUGUUAGUAAUAUGUCAUUCUUUAUACACCUUGAGUCCUGAUUCUUAAAUGAAGUGAUUGUUGCGGCUUAUGAUCAAUAGCUCUUAACCCGUUCCAGCAUUCAGAAUUAUGGUUCUGAAGUUUCUAACUGUGGACUGAUAUCUGAAGAUUACUGAAGCAUAAUGACAGAGAAAAAUGGUGCAUUAAAAGCCCCAGGAUAUUGAAUUUAGUCAAGUGGCUGCUGCUGACAGUGAUCUGCAGCAAAAGAAUUCCACAUCUUCAACCGCUCUGGACAAGAAAAUACCAAGUUGGCCAGCCCCAAGCGCCACGCAGGAUCCAUCUCACGUGGUCCGAAUUCUUCCAGCAGAAAAAGAAGCCUCGCCGCCACCAGCAUAUCGCUGCGCCGAAAGAAGGGAGCUCACGGCGCCAUUGGAGGAUGACAUGACAUGUUUCUCGUCUCGGCAAAUACUUAUCAGCAAAGCUUCCAGCCGCCCUAGUGCCGCUAUCAGUUCUGACUCGGCACCGUACAUAGAUUCUAUCACUGCAUGGAAAACCUUCAGAGGCUGAUGAUUUUGUUUCCUGGAACUGUUAGCUUUUGCCCCUUGGAAUACAAUCACCAAUCAGGGGCCUUUCAGAUUUCAGACCAAUAAGCAUUUGUCAACGAGUUAAUCAACACAGGCAUUUUUUUUUCAAUGCCAUACAUAAUCGUUCUGCAAUUCUGGUUUUCCUUGUCACCACGGAGUCUGACCCAGAGACGAAAACGACGUUUAUUGUGCAUACCAUACAGUUUCCAUUUUGUUUUUUCAAAAAAAAAUCCAUUUUUAUAUAUGAUAUAUAUCCAAAAUCUGUGAAUUUUUCACACAUGACAUGAUCUGGCAUUGCAGAAAAGGGAAAAGAUGGAUCAGAAAAAAGAGAUGAUGGAUCUCUCUUCUCUCUUCGAAAAGCGGAGGAGUGGUGCCGAAUUUUCGCUGGAUGAAGACAACAGCAGCUGCGAAUAUGAGAAAAGGGAAAGAGAUGGAUCUGAAAAGAGAUCAUGUGGAUCUCUCUUCUCUCUUGGAAAAGCAAAGGAGUGGUGCCCAAUUUUCGCCGGAUGAAGGCAACAGCAGCUGCGAAUGUGAGGUGGUGAUUGGAAAUGAACCCCAGGCCACACCAAGUCGCCAACACCGGCGCCGGCCAUGCUAAAGCCGUAUUGUCUUUUUAUGCCGCCAAAUUCAUAACCACCUACAGUUUUCUCAAUUGAUCCACGUCAUCCAGCAUAGGACACGUCAAUUCAAGCAGUUUGAGGCAGCCCCGGAAUAUUUGAGGACGAUGUGCAGGACAAAAGCCACGUCACAUAAAGUACUCUACUUUUAUUUUUUUAUAAAAAAAGUGCUAAUAUAUUUGAGAGCAUCUUCCAUUGUCAGCUCCUUUGUGGGUGCAAGGGACAUUUUUGUAUCCAGCGUGUCACCAGGACCCACGCGGAAUACGGCCUACCUUGGAAGGUAGGAAGUUUAUUUACAGCCAGGAAUUUUAUGAGAAUCGAUCCAAAAAUUGUAAGAUUCUUGCAAGAUCUCACCAAAAAUUGGUCUAGGAACUUUUUUCUGGUUC